AUUGAACGCUGGCGGCAGGCCUAACACAUGCAAGUCGAGCGGAUGAAGGGAGCUUGCUCCUGGAUUCAGCGGCGGACGGGUGAGUAAUGCCUAGGAAUCUGCCUGGUAGUGGGGGAUAACGUCCGGAAACGGGCGCUAAUACCGCAUACGUCCUGAGGGAGAAAGUGGGGGAUCUUCGGACCUCACGCUAUCAGAUGAGCCUAGGUCGGAUUAGCUAGUUGGUGGGGUAAAGGCCUACCAAGGCGACGAUCCGUAACUGGUCUGAGAGGAUGAUCAGUCACACUGGAACUGAGACACGGUCCAGACUCCUACGGGAGGCAGCAGUGGGGAAUAUUGGACAAUGGGCGAAAGCCUGAUCCAGCCAUGCCGCGUGUGUGAAGAAGGUCUUCGGAUUGUAAAGCACUUUAAGUUGCGAGGAAGGGCAGUAAGUUAAUACCUUGCUGUUUUGACGUUACCAACAGAAUAAGCACCGGCUAACUUCGUG
This 484-nucleotide ribosomal RNA is filed under the name uncultured bacterium. RNAcentral describes it as "partial 16S ribosomal RNA". It matches the Rfam family "Bacterial small subunit ribosomal RNA", at positions 30 to 507 of the family's 1533-position model. The record is from RNAcentral.